RNAcentral lists this transfer RNA (73 nucleotides) under Fidelibacterota bacterium. RNAcentral's name for it is "Candidatus Marinimicrobia bacterium tRNA-Thr". It matches the Rfam family "tRNA". Rfam says of the family: Transfer RNA (tRNA) molecules are approximately 80 nucleotides in length. Their secondary structure includes four short double-helical elements and three loops (D, anti-codon, and T loops). Further hydrogen bonds mediate the characteristic L-shaped molecular structure. tRNAs have two regions of fundamental functional importance: the anti-codon, which is responsible for specific mRNA codon recognition, and the 3' end, to which the tRNAs corresponding amino acid is attached (by aminoacyl-tRNA synthetases). tRNAs cope with the degeneracy of the genetic code in two manners: having more than one tRNA (with a specific anti-codon) for a particular amino acid; and 'wobble' base-pairing, i.e. permitting non-standard base-pairing at the 3rd anti-codon position. The record is from RNAcentral. Lineage: Bacteria; Pseudomonadati; Fidelibacterota.
GCCACCUUAGCUCAGCUGGUAGAGCAGCCGAUUCGUAAUCGGCAGGUCGGCGGUUCGAAUCCGCCAGGUGGCU